AUGCCAUGGUAUGGGCAUUCCCUCUGAAGAUCUUUGUACCUUUCCCAUACAUUAUAGAGAGAUUCAUUAUCUUUUUGCCUGAAGGUGUUAAGUUCAGUUCUAAGUUU
Hevea brasiliensis (rubber tree) is the source of this 107-nucleotide small nucleolar RNA. Lineage: Eukaryota; Viridiplantae; Streptophyta; Magnoliopsida; Malpighiales; Euphorbiaceae. The record is from RefSeq and is a predicted model, not a curated record.